This 1335-nucleotide ribosomal RNA is filed under the name Triticum aestivum (bread wheat). RNAcentral's name for it is "partial small subunit ribosomal RNA". The record is from RNAcentral. Lineage: Eukaryota; Viridiplantae; Streptophyta; Magnoliopsida; Poales; Poaceae.
CUCUUUUCCUUGCUUCCUUCUGCAAGACAACCUUGUAUGCCCGUGCUUCGAUGUCCCACUAACGCCUCUUCCUUCUCUAGAAACAGGCCUCCGCGGCGGUCUGGAGUAGGAACGGAAUCAAAAUCUGCGGCCGCGGCAUCUCGGGCAAGGGGGAGUGCGCCGGUCGCUGGUACAGCUCACCGGACUUGUACAGGGAUCUACUGGAGUAGUUCGUUAGGUUCAGGUCCGGGUUUCGGUUGGGGCGGAAGAGAAGGCCCGGGUGGGCGGCCCGCCGCGGCAGGCGGGCCUGGUACGGGAUGGGCGGCAGACGAGGGUUCCGGCGGUGGCGGCUGAGAGACAUGCCACAGAUGAGGCUCGUGCAACGGCGGUACCGUUGGAGGGGCGGUGGCGGCCGCCACCGGCCCGGUGUCCGUGAGCUCUGCCCGUGCUUCGACGUGUAGAGGUUGGAGCUGAGGUCGCAGUGGCAGCUCCUGCAGGUCCUUGAGAAAAGUCUCUAACCACUCGAGUUUGCAAUAAGACAAUUGAUGCUAUUCCUACCCUUCAGAGUCCCUUCACGCCUUCAACAGAAACGUUCUUUUCAUCUACGAAACCUACGAUAACUCUCUAUAUUACCACAAGACGAACUACCCUUCGGUUACUUCUAUCUCGAGUAACCUUUAUUCUGGCUCGGUGUGGGUUGUCUUGGAAACUACAUGUUGCCGUGAAGAAGAUUGAUGUUACGUUACGGUUUGUCAGACGAAGUCUCUCCACCGGGCUCUCCCGGUAAAGUACCAUUACCAGCAAGACCUCCGUCACCAGUCCCGCCACGACCGUUUUCUCCUUACAAAGUUCCGUUGCAAGCAGGACCUUUGUGACAGGUCCUGCCACCACCCGCCCCUGUCCCAUCUCGGUCCCCCGUACUAGCGUCGGCUCAAGGCUGGAGACGACGCCUAGAACUACGACUUGACCUCGUCAUAGUACGUCGUCGUCACUUCGUUUUUACUCCGAGACUACAUAUAAAAUAUGAGGGAGGAAGGUAUAUAUUCACUGCAUCAAAAUCAGGUUUAAAUUUGAUUUUGGUGCAGUGAAUAAAUACUUGACUCCCUCAUAUAUGUAUCUGACAACGUAAUAAUCAAAAGACGAAAAUCAGCAGUCCAUGGUACAACUCUUUUCAACCUUCCGUAAUUAAGCUGUAAAUGUAGACGACGCGAAAAAUAUAGGGAUGAGGCUCACGACCUAUAUAACAUAAUGGAUUAAAACUUUGUACCCACAAGAGAACCCCAAAUAAACCUAUCAUUCUAAUGUUUCUUGAUCAAGAACAAUUUAAGUUAAAGAUUGACUUAGAACCUAUACAGU